Molecule: long non-coding RNA, 364 nt
Filed under: Fukomys damarensis (Damara mole-rat)
Lineage: Eukaryota; Metazoa; Chordata; Mammalia; Rodentia; Bathyergidae
Description: lncRNA (ENSFDAG00000022373.1)
Source: RNAcentral
GACGUAAAGAAACCAAGUGACACUGAGAGAUGUGGAGGGUAAACAAGUGGUAUUUCACCAAAUACACACAGAGAGAACAGCACAUUUAAAUCUGGAUUCAAAUAUCCUUGAUUGAAAUCAAUAUGGCAGUGGUAAUUUUCUCUUGGAUUCCUUUGGUGUAAAUUUACAUGAAGUCAUCAAACAAAAGGAAAGAAAAUCUAAAAAGCUAUCAUCUCAUUUAUGCUCAGAAUUUUAAGAUACAUCAUAUGAAGAUAUAAAGGCAUUUGACAAGAACUCAAAGCCAAGAAACCAUGACAACAUAUCUGAUUUUGUACUUCCCUUUCUAAAAUAAGCUGGUCCAUUAUGAGGUUAAAAAAAAAGCAGC